AUCUUUUUUUUUCAAGAAAAAUCAGCACACAACUUAGAUCUUGUGGAAGAAAGAGAGAACAUCUUUCUCUAUACUUGGCUUGAAUUCGGGAUGCCCAACCUUUGGGUGUGUGGAACAAGGAGGACACCCAACUCCUUUGGGUGUGGGGCAUGAGAGAGAGAGAGAGAAAGAGAGGGUGUGAGGCAUAGAGAGGGAGCGCAGGCUUUUGGCUCUCUAGGGUUAGGGUUUUGAGAUCUUAUCUUAAGGGGUUUAAAUAGAACCAAAAGGACCUCUAAAAGGUUUCAGAUCAUGACUGAUUCAAUGCCUUA
Molecule: long non-coding RNA, 308 nt
Filed under: Elaeis guineensis (African oil palm)
Lineage: Eukaryota; Viridiplantae; Streptophyta; Magnoliopsida; Arecales; Arecaceae
Description: long non-coding RNA (EGUI_LNC065254)
Source: RNAcentral